AGGAUGAACGCUAGCUACAGGCUUAACACAUGCAAGUCGAGGGGCAGCAUGGUCUUAGCUUGCUAAGGCCGAUGGCGACCGGCGCACGGGUGAGUAACACGUAUCCAACCUGCCGUCUACUCUUGGACAGCCUUCUGAAAGGAAGAUUAAUACAAGAUGGCAUCAUGAGUCCGCAUGUUCACAUGAUUAAAGGUAUUCCGGUAGACGAUGGGGAUGCGUUCCAUUAGAUAGUAGGCGGGGUAACGGCCCACCUAGUCUUCGAUGGAUAGGGGUUCUGAGAGGAAGGUCCCCCACAUUGGAACUGAGACACGGUCCAAACUCCUACGGGAGGCAGCAGUGAGGAAUAUUGGUCAAUGGGCGAGAGCCUGAACCAGCCAAGUAGCGUGAAGGAUGACUGCCCUAUGGGUUGUAAACUUCUUUUAUAAAGGAAUAAAGUCGGGUAUGCAUACCCGUUUGCAUGUACUUUAUGAAUAAGGAUCGGCUAACUCCGUGCCAGCAGCCGCGGUAAUACGGAGGAUCCGAGCGUUAUCCGGAUUUAUUGGGUUUAAAGGGAGCGUAGAUGGAUGUUUAAGUCAGUUGUGAAAGUUUGCGGCUCAACCGUAAAUUGCAGUUGAUACUGGAUAUCUUGAGUGCAGUUGAGGCAGGCGGAAUUCGUGGUGUAGCGGUGAAAUGCUUAGAUAUCACGAAGAACUCCGAUUGCGAAGGCAGCCUGCUAAGCUGCAACUGACAUUGAGGCUCGAAAGUGUGGGUAUCAAACAGGAUUAGAUACCCUGGUAGUCCACACGGUAAACGAUGAAUACUCGCUGUUUGCGAUAUACAGCAAGCGGCCAAGCGAAAGCGUUAAGUAUUCCACCUGGGGAGUACGCCGGCAACGGUGAAACUCAAAGGAAUUGACGGGGGCCCGCACAAGCGGAGGAACAUGUGGUUUAAUUCGAUGAUACGCGAGGAACCUUACCCGGGCUUAAAUUGCAGAUGAAUUACGGUGAAAGCCGUAAGCCGCAAGGCAUCUGUGAAGGUGCUGCAUGGUUGUCGUCAGCUCGUGCCGUGAGGUGUCGGCUUAAGUGCCAUAACGAGCGCAACCCUUGUUGUCAGUUACUAACAGGUUCCGCUGAGGACUCUGACAAGACUGCCAUCGUAAGAUGUGAGGAAGGUGGGGAUGACGUCAAAUCAGCACGGCCCUUACGUCCGGGGCUACACACGUGUUACAAUGGGGGGGUACAGAGGGCCGCUACCACGCGAGUGGAUGCCAAUCCCAAAAACCUCUCUCAGUUCGGACUGGAGUCUGCAACCCGACUCCACGAAGCUGGAUUCGCUAGUAAUCGCGCAUCAGCCACGGCGCGGUGAAUACGUUCCCGGGCCUUGUACACACCGCCCGUCAAGCCAUGGGAGCCGGGGGUACCUGAAGUGCGUAACCGCGAGGAGCGCCCUAGGGUAAAACUG
Molecule: ribosomal RNA, 1440 nt
Filed under: uncultured organism
Description: SSU rRNA
Rfam family: Bacterial small subunit ribosomal RNA
Source: RNAcentral